This 266-nucleotide ribosomal RNA is filed under the name uncultured bacterium. Its description in RNAcentral is "partial 16S ribosomal RNA". It matches the Rfam family "Bacterial small subunit ribosomal RNA", at positions 1234 to 1500 of the family's 1533-position model. The record is from RNAcentral.
CGUAACAAAGGGAAGCGAACCUGUGAGGGGGAGGCAAAUCCCAAAAAUAACGUCCCAGUUCGGACUGUAGUCUGCAACCCGACUACACGAAGCUGGAAUCGCUAGUAAUCGCGAAUCAGAAUGUCGCGGUGAGUACGUUCCCGGGUCUUGUACACACCGCCCGUCACACCAUGGGAGUCGGGAAUGCCCGAAGUCAGUGACCCAACCUUUGGAGGGAGCUGCCGAAGGCAGGUCUGAUAACUGGGGUGAAGUCGUAACAAGGUAUC